Molecule: ribosomal RNA, 1343 nt
Filed under: uncultured bacterium
Lineage: Bacteria
Description: 16S ribosomal RNA
Rfam family: Bacterial small subunit ribosomal RNA
Source: RNAcentral
GACGAACGCUGGCUUCGUGCUUAACACAUGCAAGUCGAACGGAAAGGCCCUGCUUUUGUGGGGUGCUCGAGUGGCGAACGGGUGAGUAACACGUGAGUAACCUGCCCUUGACUUUGGGAUAACUUCAGGAAACUGGGGCUAAUACCGGAUAGGAGCUCCUGCUGCAUGGUGGGGGUUGGAAAGUUUCGGCGGUUGGGGAUGGACUCGCGGCUUAUCAGCUUGUUGGUGGGGUAGUGGCUUACCAAGGCUUUGACGGGUAGCCGGCCUGAGAGGGUGACCGGCCACAUUGGGACUGAGAUACGGCCCAGACUCCUACGGGAGGCAGCAGUGGGGAAUAUUGCACAAUGGGCGGAAGCCUGAUGCAGCAACGCCGCGUGCGGGAUGACGGCCUUCGGGUUGUAAACCGCUUUCGCCUGUGACGAAGCGUGAGUGACGGUAAUGGGUAAAGAAGCACCGGCUAACUACGUGCCAGCAGCCGCGGUGAUACGUAGGGUGCGAGCGUUGUCCGGAUUUAUUGGGCGUAAAGGGCUCGUAGGUGGUUGAUCGCGUCGGAAGUGUAAUCUUGGGGCUUAACCCUGAGCGUGCUUUCGAUACGGGUUGACUUGAGGAAGGUAGGGGAGAAUGGAAUUCCUGGUGGAGCGGUGGAAUGCGCAGAUAUCAGGAGGAACACCAGUGGCGAAGGCGGUUCUCUGGGCCUUUCCUGACGCUGAGGAGCGAAAGCGUGGGGAGCGAACAGGCUUAGAUACCCUGGUAGUCCACGCUGUAAACGGUGGGUACUAGGUGUGGGGUCCAUUCCACGGGUUCCGUGCCGUAGCUAACGCUUUAAGUACCCCGCCUGGGGAGUACGGCCGCAAGGCUAAAACUCAAAGGAAUUGACGGGGCCCCGCACAAGCGGCGGAGCAUGCGGAUUAAUUCGAUGCAACGCGUAGAACCUUACCUGGGUUUGACAUGGAUCGGGAGUGCUCAGAGAUGGGUGUGCCUCUUUUGGGGUCGGUUCACAGGUGGUGCAUGGCUGUCGUCAGCUCGUGUCGUGAGAUGUUGGGUUAAGUCCCGCAACGAGCGCAACCCUUGUUCACUGUUGCCAGCACGUUAUGGUGGGGACUCAGUGGAGACCGCCGGGGUCAACUCGGAGGAAGGUGGGGAUGACGUCAAGUCAUCAUGCCCCUUAUGUCCAGGGCUUCACGCAUGCUACAAUGGCUGGUACAGAGAGUGGCGAGCCUGCGAGGGUGAGCGAAUCUCGGAAAGCCGGUCUCAGUUCGGAUUGGGGUCUGCAACUCGACCUCAUGAAGUCGGAGUCGCUAGUAAUCGCAGAUCAGCAACGCUGCGGUGAAUACGUUCCCGGG